This is a long non-coding RNA of Sapajus apella (tufted capuchin), 303 nucleotides long. RefSeq lists it as uncharacterized. The transcript has 2 exons. The record is from RefSeq and is a predicted model, not a curated record. Lineage: Eukaryota; Metazoa; Chordata; Mammalia; Primates; Cebidae.
GUCCAGCCCCUCGCUAGACUCCUGCUUCAUCUGGCAGGAAACAGUUUCAAUUGAGCUUGUUUCAUGGAAGAAAACAAAACGUAGUCUCCAGAAGAUGCACUGUUUUAAGACCCUCAUGUUGUCUUCAUCUACUUAGACCUUAAUCCAUGGUCUCUGUUCCUAGUUCUGUUUCUUUUGCACACACACCCCCCCACACACACAUACCUUCCAUCAGUUUAAAGAGGAUGUGUCUUCUCCUACCUCUUAGAAAAGUCUCUUUUGCCUCCCUCUUGCAAUGUGUUGCUUUUAGACCAGGAAAAUAAA